Esox lucius (northern pike) is the source of this 248-nucleotide long non-coding RNA. RefSeq lists it as uncharacterized. The record is from RefSeq and is a predicted model, not a curated record. The transcript has 3 exons. Lineage: Eukaryota; Metazoa; Chordata; Actinopteri; Esociformes; Esocidae.
GAGAAAUACUUCGAUGACAUUUGAACUUCUUCAUAAGUCCGUGCUAGUUUCAGAUCCACGUUGAACGUGAGAGCCUGAGAUGACAAGCAAGGAAAGGACCAGGAAGUAUAGGGAGAGGCUGAAUAAAGAUCCUCAGAGGAGAGAGAACAUCCUGAGAGAGAGAUGCAGAAAAUAUCAGGAGAAGAAAGCAUGCAGGAACAUUUUUCAGCUCAGUGUGAAGUCUGUGUCGCCAGCAACAAGGAAGACGC